UACGUAGGUGGCAAGCGUUGUCCGGAUUUACUGGGCGUAAAGAGCGCGCAGGCGGUCGUUCAAGUCGCGUGUGAAAGCCCCCGGCUCAACUGGGGAGGGUCACGCGAUACUGAUCGACUCGAAGGCAGGAGAGGGUAGUGGAAUUCCCGGUGUAGUGGUGAAAUGCGUAGAUAUCGGGAGGAACACCAGUGGCGAAGGCGGCUUCCUGGACCGACACUGACGCUGAGGCGCGAAAGCAUGGGGAGCGAACGGG
Molecule: ribosomal RNA, 253 nt
Filed under: uncultured bacterium
Lineage: Bacteria
Description: partial 16S ribosomal RNA
Rfam family: Bacterial small subunit ribosomal RNA
Source: RNAcentral